GUCUACCCUACUAUCCUGACAUUGACUGCUCUCAUCUGAUCACAGAGGCGGACCAGGGUUGGGCCUGCUUAGUACUUGGAUAGAGACUGCUUCUGAACAAGGGCACCGUAGGCU
RNAcentral lists this ribosomal RNA (114 nucleotides) under Meriones unguiculatus (Mongolian gerbil). The record is from RNAcentral. Lineage: Eukaryota; Metazoa; Chordata; Mammalia; Rodentia; Muridae.